CGGGACUAACUACGUGCAAACAGGCGGCGGGUAAUACGUAGGGUGCAAGCGUUAAUCGAAUUACUGGGCGUAAAGCGUGUGUAGGCGGUCGGAAAGAAAGAUGUGAAAUCCAGGGCUCAACCUGGAAAUGCAUUUUUAACUGCCGAGCUAGAGUAUGUCAGAGGGGGGUAGAAUUCCACGUGUAGCAGUGAAAUGCGUAGAUAUGUGGAGGAAUACCGAUGGCGAAGGCAGCCCCCUGGGAUAAUACUGACGCUCAGACACGAAAGCGUGGGGAGCAAACAGGAUUAGAUACCCUGGUAGUCCACGCCCUAAACGAUGUCAACUAGCUGUUGGGGCCGUUAGGCCUUAGUAGCGCAGCUAACGCGUGAAGUUGACCGCCUGGGGAGUACGGUCGCAAGAUUAAAACUCAAAGGAAUUGACGGGGACCCGCACAAGCGGUGGAUGAUGUGGAUUAAUUCGAUGCAACGCGAAAAACCUUACCUACCCUUGACAUGUCUGGAAUGCCGAAGAGAUUUGGCAGUGCUCGCAAGAGAACCGGAACACAGGUGCUGCAUGGCUGUCGUCAGCUCGUGUCGUGAGAUGUUGGGUUAAGUCCCGCAACGAGCGCAACCCUUGUCAUUAGUUGCUACGCAAGAGCACUCUAAUGAGACUGCCGGUGACAAACCGGAGGAAGGUGGGGAUGACGUCAAGUCCUCAUGGCCCUUAUGGGUAGGGCUUCACACGUCAUACAAUGGUCGGGACAGAGGGUCGCCAACCCGCGAGGGGGAGCCAAUCUCAGAAACCCGAUCGUAGUCCGGAUCGCAGUCUGCAACUCGACUGCGUGAAGUCGGAAUCGCUAGUAAUCGCGGAUCAGAAUGUCGCGGUGAAUACGUUCCCGGGUCUUGUACACACCGCCCGUCACACCAUGGGAGUGGGUUUCACCAGAAGUAGGUAGCCUAACCGCAAGGAGGGCGCUUACCA
Molecule: ribosomal RNA, 960 nt
Filed under: Alcaligenes faecalis
Lineage: Bacteria; Pseudomonadati; Pseudomonadota; Betaproteobacteria; Burkholderiales; Alcaligenaceae
Description: bacterial SSU rRNA
Rfam family: Bacterial small subunit ribosomal RNA
Source: RNAcentral